Molecule: ribosomal RNA, 505 nt
Filed under: uncultured bacterium
Lineage: Bacteria
Description: partial 16S ribosomal RNA
Rfam family: Bacterial small subunit ribosomal RNA
Source: RNAcentral
AUUGAACGCUGGCGGCAGCCUAACGCAUGCAAGUCGAACGGUAACAGGAAGCAGCUUGCUGCUUCGCUGACGAGUGGCGGACGGGUGAGUAAUGUCUGGGAAACUGCCCGAUGGAGGGGGAUAACUACUGGAAACGGUAGCUAAUACCGCAUAACGUCGCAAGACCAAAGAGGGGGACCUUCGGGCCUCUUGCCAUCGGAUGUGCCCAGAUGGGAUUAGCUUGUUGGUGAGGUAACGGCUCACCAAGGAGACGAUCCCUAGCUGGUCUGAGGGGAUGACCAGCCACACUGGAAGUGAGACACGGACCAGACUCCGACGGGAGGAAGCAGGGGGGAAUAGUGCUCAAUGGGCGCAAGCCUGAUGCAGCCAUGCCGCGUGUAUGAAGAAGGCGUUCGGGUUGUAAAGUACUUUCAGCGGGGAGGAAGGGGUUGUGGUUAAUAACCGCAGCAAUUGACGUUACCCGCAGAAGAAGCACCGGCUAACUCCGUGCCAGCAGCCGCCGUAA